This 433-nucleotide ribosomal RNA is filed under the name uncultured bacterium. RNAcentral's name for it is "partial 16S ribosomal RNA". It matches the Rfam family "Bacterial small subunit ribosomal RNA", at positions 29 to 507 of the family's 1533-position model. The record is from RNAcentral.
AACGAACGCUGGCGGCAUGCCUAACACAUGCAAGUCGAACGAGACCUUCGGGUCUAGUGGCGCACGGGUGCGUAACGCGUGGGAACCUGCCCUUAGGUUCGGAAUACCUCCCCGAAAGGGGUGCUAAUACCGGAUAAUGUCUUCGGACCAAAGAUUUAUCGCCUUUGGAUGGGCCCGCGUUGGAUUAGCUAGUUGGUAGGGUAAAAGCCUACCAAGGCGACGAUCCAUAGCUGGUCGGAGAGGAUGAUCAGCCACACUGGGACUGAGACACGGCCCAGACUCCUACGGGAGGCAGAAGUGGGGAAUAUUGGACAAUGGGCGAAAGCCUGAUCCAGCAAUGCCGCGUGAGUGAUGAAGGCCUUAGGGUUGUAAAGCUCUUUUACCCGGGAUGAUAAUGACAGUACCGGGAGAAUAAGCUCCGGCUAACUCCGUG